AUUUGACGUUACCUACAGAAGAAGCACCGGCUAACUCCGUGCCAGCAGCCGCGGUAAUACGGAGGGUGCGAGCGUUAAUCGGAAUUACUGGGCGUAAAGCGCAUGCAGGCGGCCUGUUAAGUCAGAUGUGAAAGACCCGGGGCGUUAACCUCGGAAUUGCAUUUGAAACUAGGCAGGCUAGAGUCUUGUAGAGGGGGGUAGGAAUUUCUAGGUGUAGCGGUGAAAUAGCGUAGAGAUCUGAAGGAAUACCAGUGGCGAAGGCGGCCCCCUCGGACAAAGACUGACGCUCAGAUGCGAAAGCGUGGGGAGCAAACAGGAUUAGAUACCCUGGUAG
This 334-nucleotide ribosomal RNA is filed under the name uncultured bacterium. Its description in RNAcentral is "bacterial SSU rRNA". It matches the Rfam family "Bacterial small subunit ribosomal RNA", at positions 467 to 793 of the family's 1533-position model. The record is from RNAcentral.